RNAcentral lists this non-coding RNA (31 nucleotides) under Homo sapiens (human). Lineage: Eukaryota; Metazoa; Chordata; Mammalia; Primates; Hominidae. The record is from RNAcentral.
UAAGACACGAAGAUCGUGGGUAAAUCCAGGU